Molecule: long non-coding RNA, 1444 nt
Filed under: Lactuca sativa (garden lettuce)
Lineage: Eukaryota; Viridiplantae; Streptophyta; Magnoliopsida; Asterales; Asteraceae
Description: long non-coding RNA (LSAT_LNC004764)
Source: RNAcentral
CUUUUCAGUUGGAAUUUCUCUCUCUAUGUUUUCAUCUACUUCUUUUUUCUGCACACUUUGAAUAUCAGAGCAUUCUGCAUUGUUCACGGCGUCAACAGUUAUUGCUUCUGGUGUAUAAUCAAAGUCCUUCUCACGCUUUUGAACAUCUAUUACAGCAACUUCAGGUGUAAUUUUCUCAAUGGUAGUAGUAGUUUCUGGGUUAUUUUUCUCUAGAAGCAUCAUGGGGGAAGCUUCCUGAACAUUUCCUGGUAAACUUUCAGAAACUUUGCUACCCUCAGGGACUAUUUCAGCAACAUCGGAUGCAAUUUCAAAAACUUCAGUUGGCUUUUCUUCAGACUUGUGUAUAUCAUCAUAGCCUCUGCUGAUGCUCUCCUCAGAUCUAACUUCUAUACCUUGCUCUGUAGGACUUGAUAUCGAAUCAGAAGUGGUUUUCGUGAGGUCAUCUGCUUGUGAUUCGCUUAGUGUUUCUUUCUCCUUGUUUGCAUCUUCUUCCAAUGUCUUUUCUUCUGUCACCAAAAUCUUUGGAAACUCUUCCUCUAUGAAUUCUAGAUUCCGAUCCUUGUUGCUUAUGUUGCUGUGGUCAACCUGUGUCUUAUCUGUUUCUAGUACUAGUUCUUUUGUUUGGUCUUCAACAGUUGAAGAUGCAAGUUCUUCAAGUGGUACAAUGGACACAAGUUUCUGUUACAUGAAAAAAACCACAAAAAUCUACAUGAUCAGUAGGUGAAGGUUAAAUUUCCAUUUGCAUGUAAUAAUCUAAAUGCCAUUUAUAAUGAUAAAACUACAUGAAAUCAGGCUAUGUUAACAAUGUCUUAUUAGCAUAGGAUCAGUAUAGGGAGGCUUUAACCAUGGGAUAAUCACAGUAAUAUUUUGUCAAGGGCUCAUGGCCUAGUUUCUUUCAAGCUGGUUGUCAUCCAGUGGUCUCAAAUCGAAUUAAUAGAAGACAAAGUUAGGGUUAUUUUUUUAUCAUCAGGGCUUAAUCUUUUUACCUUCUCACUUAAUGACCCAUCCACAGGUGUUUGACACGUGUCAUUUGUUACUUCUGGAUGUUCUUCCUCCAUCUCCAUCUUGAGAGUUGUUUCAGGAGUUUGUAUUUCAGAUAUAAGUUCAUCAUCCUUUUCUUUCUUCUCAAACUCAAGAUCAGGGGCUUCUGCAGACUGUAUAUUUUCUAGUUCUGUUGGGCUUUCUGCUUUCACUUCUUUGACUUCAUUGUUUCCAGCUGGUAUCGGCUUUGAAUAUUCUAUCUGUUAAAAGAUAUUUAUCAUUUUAAUAUCUGAAUAAAUGAAAUCAAUCUGAUAUUUUAGUAUCCUUCUUGCUGUCUUUACUGACCUCAUCAUCUAGGUCCUUUUGAUUUGAUGUCGAUGUCUUAUCGAGUUCUGGAGGACAUAUAUCUUCCUCAGAAACAUGUUCAUUGACUUCAUUUUUUUCCUCUUCUUUUUCAGUCUCC